Molecule: ribosomal RNA, 510 nt
Filed under: uncultured bacterium
Lineage: Bacteria
Description: bacterial SSU rRNA
Rfam family: Bacterial small subunit ribosomal RNA
Source: RNAcentral
CUGGCGGCGUGCCUAAUACAUGCAAGUCGAACGCACUCUCGUUAGAUUGAAGGAGCUUGCUCUGAUUGAUAAACAUUUGAGUGAGUGGCGGACGGGUGAGUAACACGUGGGUAACCUGCCCUAAAGUGGGGGAUAACAUUUGGAAACAGAUGCUAAUACCGCAUAAAACCUAACACCGCAUGGUGUAGGGUUGAAAGAUGGUUUCGGCUAUCACUUUAGGAUGGACCCGCGGUGCAUUAGUUAGUUGGUGAGGUAAAGGCUCACCAAGACCGUGAUGCAUAGCCGACCUGAGAGGGUAAUCGGCCACACUGGGACUGAGACACGGCCCAGACUCCUACGGGAGGCAGCAGUAGGGAAUCUUCCACAAUGGACGAAAGUCUGAUGGAGCAACGCCGCGUGAGUGAAGAAGGUUUUCGGAUCGUAAAACUCUGUUGUUGGAGAAGAAUGUAUCUGAUAGUAACUGAUCAGGUAGUGACGGUAUCCAACCAGAAAGCCACGGCUAACUACGUG